This 1312-nucleotide long non-coding RNA is filed under the name Homo sapiens (human). RNAcentral describes it as "HSALNT0395325". The record is from RNAcentral. Lineage: Eukaryota; Metazoa; Chordata; Mammalia; Primates; Hominidae.
UUUUUCUCCUUUACACCUCUUGUUUGCCAAGAACACUCUAUCUCCAAGCCUCAAAACGUGGAAACACCUGAGAUCCUUCCUUCUUUCCUAACAGCCAUCACAUCAUCUUGGAUUUACUUAGAAAACGUCUUUUGCAUUCAUUGCCACGUAUCUUCCAAAUGCACCGUUCUAGUUCAAUUUGUGAUUCCUUGAAACUGAGAUUACUAGACCUGUUAUUUCUGCCCAUAGAGUUUUUUUCUGCCCAUAGAGAUUAUUAAACCUAUUAUUUCUGCCCAUAGAGUUUUUAUUCCACUAAUCAAAUUUAUACAUUGUAAUCUCAUUCACUUUCUCAAAAUCUGCUUUUCGUUGAGUUUCCUCUCUGUUCCCCACAGCAUCGGUGAAUAUUUAUUUCUCAUGAAACAACUUUCAGGCUCCUUAUCCUGACCUGCAAAGCCCCCACGAUCUUGUCACAGCUGUUCUAAACCCCACCUUUCACUUUUGCUUUCAGUACUCUCCACCUGACCCAGCCCUCUGCCCAGCCUUCCAAGCCACAUGGGCAGGAAGCGUUGUGCUGCCCACUCCUGCUUGGUUUACUGUGCCUGCCUUUAACCUCUUGCCUUCUGCAAACCCAUCCUCCUCUCCUCUCUGACAAGGGCCAUCACCGUCUUCAUAAAGAGAGCCAGUGACAAGUCCUGCCCUGGGACCUAGGAAAGACCCAAGAAGCCAGGAUUAUCCAGAACCCCAGAUCUGCUGACUCCUCCAUGUCCCCCGCCAAGGCUGGAGAAAGGCAGAACACUAACCUGAGACAGGUUCCACACAAAAAUAACUGAAGAUGGGCCUCCAGUCUUACGACGCCACAAAGUGCCCUGACACCACUGAACACGAAAACUCAUUGCAGAGUUCCCAAACAGGACCUGUUCCUUUGAAGAUCAUCCGCACCGUGAAGAUGCCCAGUUCAAUGGGUGUGGCUGGGAUCACGUAUUGCAAUAACACAAACAAAAGGAGUUUAAACAUGUAAUAUUCCUAUCACCUGAAUUAUUAAGAUAAAAUGUCAUUUAACUGGAAGGAUUCCUGGAUAUUGUAAGAGAACACGCAGGUCUAGUUCAUUCGAUUGUUCACACACAGUCCCGUGCACCGUGUGUCAGCAUAGGCGAAUGGGAAGUUUGCGCGUUGAGUGGGGUGUGAAUGGAGAAUUUGCCCAAGAGACUUGACCAGCCGUGUUCCCUGCUGUCAUCUCAGUAUCUAUAACAGCAUCGGCACAUGGCAAGCAUUCCAUUGAAUGAAUGGAUGACUCCACAGAAAGAUAUCAAAAGCACAAAGAGUCUUUAGUGGC